This 353-nucleotide ribosomal RNA is filed under the name uncultured Helicobacter sp. RNAcentral describes it as "bacterial SSU rRNA". It matches the Rfam family "Bacterial small subunit ribosomal RNA", at positions 87 to 450 of the family's 1533-position model. The record is from RNAcentral. Lineage: Bacteria; Pseudomonadati; Campylobacterota; Epsilonproteobacteria; Campylobacterales; Helicobacteraceae.
AUGGAUUAGUGGCGCACGGGGUGAGUAAUGCAUAGAUAACAUGCCCUUUAGUUUGGGAAUAGCCACUAGAAAUGGUAAAAAUAAUACCAAAUACUACCUUACGAGGGAAAGAUUUAUCGCUAAAGGAUUGGUCUAUGUCCUAUCAGCUUGUUGGUGAGAUAAAGGCUCACCAAGGCUAUGACGGGUAUCCGGCCUGAGAGGGUGAACGGACACACUGGAACUGAGACACGGUCCAGACUCCAUACGGGAGGCAGCAGUAGGGAAUAUUGCUCAAUGGGGGAAACCCUGAAGCAGCAACGCCGCGUGGAGGAUGAAGGUUUUAGGAUGUAAACUCCUUUUGAUUAGAGAAGAUA